RNAcentral lists this long non-coding RNA (4174 nucleotides) under Homo sapiens (human). Its description in RNAcentral is "HSALNT0315559". Lineage: Eukaryota; Metazoa; Chordata; Mammalia; Primates; Hominidae. The record is from RNAcentral.
GCCAUUGUAGAGCAGCCAUUGAAUCAACACAGAGAGGCGGCAGCGUGCCUCUGACUCACCAGGAACCCAGCUCCUCACUGUUCCGCCUGCAAACAGACCUCAAAGCUCCUUGUUCCUUGCUUUGUGCUGCUGAACGCAAGUGGUGAGUAUGACAGAAGAGUACAGAAUAGCUAUACACAGCUUAAGGAAUAGCCAGAGAGGGAUAGCCAUAAACAGCAGUGGAGAAGGGCCAUUUUUUCAUUUUGCCGAUUGACUUACUAGUCAUUUGAAAAAUUACACACCUCACAAAUAAUUUUAAUUGAUUUUUCCAUUAUGUUUUGAUGGCAGGCUAAAGUUGCUUCAUCCGCAUUUCCAAAAUAAACUAUUUUUCUGUUGCUUUAAAAAUUAGCCUACCAAGAAAAAUGUUAAGCUAGCAAAAUGGAGUCCAUCCAGAUUCUUUAGCAUAAUAGUAUGCUAUUACUGCUUUUAAUUUACUACCAUUAAAACAUUUAUCUUAUAUUCCUACAAUUUUUAAAUUAUAUCCUAACUGGAGAUUAAAAGUUAAGACAAGUUUUUCCUGUUAUGACUGUCCUAUGUUUUAAAAAUUAUUGUGCUUCUAUUUUAUAUUAGCCUGUGUAUGUCAUAUGACAUACUGGUAUAUUAUUGGAUAUGUACACAAAUCUUAUCUAGAGAGUUUUUUUAAGAUAAGAUGGAGAAUUCUGGAUGAAGAUUUAAACUAAAUGAUGACAGAGAUGUUUCCCAAUCAUUGAACUUGAAGGACUGAAUGUGAAAUAAUGAAAAACAUCACCAACUAAGUCUGAAGAGUGAUUUCUGGCCUUGAGGGUCCUACUUACUAGAAAAAUAAACGUAGGCAAAUCAUCUGACCUCUCUGUAAAUUUAGCUUCCUGGUUUGCAAAAUGGGGUUGAUUUUGUUCUGGGAUCUCCUCCUCCUGCAUGAAGCCCAGAGGCCUCAGGCAAAGCUGACUUCACCUCCCUCUAGCGGGGGCCUGGGGGGCCUACGAGUGAGUUGCUCAGGAAGGGUCAUGUGACACACCCUGGCCAAUGAGAUAUGAGGAGAAGUUUGCCGGAGACUUCUAGGAACAUUAUUCUUUGUUCCUACUGAGUUUCUAGGAGCAACACCCUUUCCCCGGAGUCACUGUUCUAAUUGAGGCCUAGGUUUCCGGCAGCUGCCUUUCUUAAGCAGUCGAUACACAAAGACCCACACGGCCAGAGACUCGCUGGGAAGCAGACUGGGAGUCACAGACUGAGGCGGCCCUGAAGUUUGCUCUUCAUCUACACUUCUAGUGUAAAAGUCAUAAUAAUUUUUCUUUUAUGGGUUAACCUGAUUUGAGUUGGGUUUUUGUUACCUAUAGUUAAAGGUACCUUAACUACCUUACAGAUAAAAAAAUGUAAAUAAAACUCCGAAAAUUAAGUGCUAUAAGAUGUUAAUAUGCUCUCAUCAUUAUUUUAAGUAAAUAAUUAUUCAUAUCAGUAACAUCUAUCUUUAUUUUUUGAUGAAGCCAAAUCAUCUUUGAGAGGCACCUUACAGAGUUUGGUGUUUGUAUCCUUUUGAUAAUAUCCCUGCCAAAUGGUAAUUCAAUAAAUGAACUCUCCCAGUGAUGGGGACAUCCCCACCUCCUGAGAAAGUGUUGACAGUCAUGUAAUUAUCAACAAUUAACUCAGCACACUGUGGUGUGGCCAGCCCUAGUAUUCCAUAUUUGCAUGUACUUUGUGUUGAGAUUAUUUGACGCCAGAGAGAAAGCAGGAAAAUCGAGGUAGGUGAACUCACUGCUAUUGGUCCGCAUUUUUGCUACACGGAAAGCAUUGAGCUCAAAUAAUUCUGUGAUGGGUGAGGCUGAAUCUGGCUGUGUCUCCCUUCUUCUCUUUGCUGGUAUUCUCUCUUCAGGGACCCAGGGAAGGCCACAGAUGCUCUCUGGAAGUACAAUAGCUAUUUUCCUGGUCUGCAUCUGAGGUAGACACGGAAGGAUCAGAGGGACUCAGGGCAUUGCCCUCAGGGGAGUUCUUGGUGCUCAAUGCCUGCAUACCUCACUUAUGCCAUGAAGGUAUUCCUUAAAGGAAAUGAUAAAAAUAUCACUUUGGUAAGUACUGUUUUGACUGUGCAAAUGAUGAUCUAAAGGAAUUUUAUUGUAAAUAUAAUUACCAUAGCUGCCAUUUAUUGAGUGUCUGCUACCUACUAGUCAGAGGACUAUAUAAACAUCUGAUAAGCAUGAUGUGUUAAUUCUUUCAACAGAUCACCAUCAAAGUUAGCAUUAGCAUCUCAUUUUAUAUAGGAUGGACUGAGGCUCAGAGAGGUUAGAUUAAGUCGCCCAAGCCAGGUGACCAACUGUGCAGUUUUCCCAGGACUGAGAGGGUUUCUGCAAUGUGGGCUUCCAAUACUAUAACUGAGAAACUUCUGUGUAAACUGAGACCAAUUAGUCAUCCUAAUUGCAGCUAAAAGUAAACAAACAAAUAAAGCAAAACAACAUCACAGCAAUACAAUCUUUUCAUAAAGUGACUAAUGUUAAUUCCAAAUUGUUUCAUUCUCUGACUGUUCAACCUGCAUAUAUAAUGUACAGCUUCAAGGGCUAUUAAUAGUCUAAAUGUAAAAAAUACAACAGGAAAAAUAAAAUCAACAAUAAUCUCUGAGUCAAUUUUACCAUUUCCUGUGAAUUAAACCUUAUCCCUGUAGAGUGUCAGGGUCCCAGGAAGAGGACUCCUGCAAUACAGCUCUCUCUGCAUUUUCUUUCAUUAGCAUAAUAGAGGCCAAAGGUAACUUACCUCAUCUGAAAUUUGACCUCCAAAUGUCACCCAUGUUCCUAGAAAAUAAUAAAUAUUUGCAUAUUAUUCAUCAUCAUUUUUCUAAUAUUGUGCGUAAUAAGGGAAAUUCUUACUUUGGGACUACCUCAAUAGGUUGUAUGGGUAGUUCACAAAGGUACCUGGAUGAGGGGCACAUGUGGGCUGUGGUCUAGUUGGUCUAGUCUGUCUUCUUCUCACUAAGUAUUCCAGAAGGGGUCUGUAUCCCUCUGGAGAAAGGGCUGCUGUUUCUUUACUGAAAGCCACUGUACAUACUAUUGGAAGCCCUGUCCUAGAAGAUGCUUUCCCUUCUGCUAUUGGACCAUGGAUGCUAGUGUACAAGAUCCAUUCUUGCUCCCACUGAGCUAAGAAGCCACAUGUUCUGAAAGUGAAGGUAAGACCUUGGGUUAUGGUUAUAGUUCUCCCCUUCUUUGCCUCCAAAUAGUGGCUGUAUUUUUUAUUCAUUAUUACUUUUCAAAAGAAACCCUCUUAGAGGUCUUUCCAGUGCCCACUUACAAGACUCAGGAGGUGACACUUAUGUGCCUUCUCUGUCAUAACCUGCCAUUCCAGAAUGGAAAUCUCCACUGGUUUGGGUGAGAGUGGAGACAGCAGCAGGAGUAAGGUUUGGGAAGGCAAGGGGAGAGAUGCACACUCAGCAGCCAAAGACGUUUGAAACUUUGUAAAGUAGAAGGGAAGCUGAAGUGGAGUGGGCACUUGCUAUGCUGGUCUCCAGGCACCUCAUUUAUUCAUUCCAUCCUUUAUGGAUAGAUCCUCCUAAAAGGAGGAUUUAUUCCCUUCCUUUCCCUUCCUAAAGGAGGGAAUGAAUUCUUUUGAUUCCUAAUUACAUGCCACAUAAAAGCAUUGCACUCACGUGUAAGGGACAGUGAGAUGAUUGGCCCAGUUCCUGUCUCGCAGGAGCUCACGGUUUAUAAGACCAUUUGACAAAUGCUAUGACUGAGGUGAACAUAAGGCAGAUAAAAGGGAGUGCUCUAUUUAGAUUGGAGGGUGGUGGCAUUCUAGGAAGACUUCCUAGAAGAGGUGACAGCUAGGUCGAGUCUCACAGGGGUUAACUGAACGAAGAAGAAAGGGACAGACAUUCUAGGGAGAGGCAAGAGCACCGGCCAGGAAAGGAGGUGGGAAACUCCAGAGAGUGCUGAUGAGCAGGGGCCUACACCAUCAGGCCGUGAGAUGAAAUGUGGGAGCACCAGGGAGGGACGGCAGGAGUGAGAGCAGUAGAGCCUGGGCACAAGUGAUAUUUGGGAGGCAUACAAAGAAAUGUGGUCGAAAAUGCAUAUUUUGCAUUUUGUAAUAACAGUCCUAGCUACCAUUUAUGGAAGAACACUUUCCAAAUGCCAGACAGUAUACUAAGAAGCUUACCAGAUCACUUUAUGCUUACUUCCAG